This 155-nucleotide ribosomal RNA is filed under the name uncultured cyanobacterium. Its description in RNAcentral is "partial 16S ribosomal RNA". It matches the Rfam family "Bacterial small subunit ribosomal RNA", at positions 502 to 656 of the family's 1533-position model. Lineage: Bacteria; Bacillati; Cyanobacteriota. The record is from RNAcentral.
UCCGUGCCAGCAGCCGCGGUAUUACAGAGGAUGCAAGCGUUAUCCGGAAUCAUUGGGCGUAAAGCGUCCGUAGGUGGCCGUUCAAGUCUGCUGUUAAAAGCUGGGGCUUAACCCCUGACAGGCAGUGGAAACUGAACAGCUAAAGUGUGGUAGGG